This 680-nucleotide long non-coding RNA is filed under the name Chlamydomonas reinhardtii. Its description in RNAcentral is "long non-coding RNA (CREI_LNC000490)". Lineage: Eukaryota; Viridiplantae; Chlorophyta; Chlorophyceae; Chlamydomonadales; Chlamydomonadaceae. The record is from RNAcentral.
GAUUGGUUCGGGGUACGCCGCUUCUGCCUUCGCAUGAACGCGAGUGUUGCGCUGGGCAACAAGCCCUAACGGCGCUCUAUCUGAUCACCCCUCCUUUCGCUUCGCUUUGGCAGGGCUACGGUGUCUACCGCUACGAGGACAAGUACGGUGCCAACGUGGACGGCUACUCGCCCAUCUACACCCCCGACCUGUGGACUGAGUCGGGCGACUCCUACACCCUGGGCACCAAGGGCCUGAUCGCCUGGUAAGAGCCGCAUCGGUGGCGACGCGCGAGCGCAGUGUGGUCUGCGCUGGCGCACUGACUAGGCACUGACGGGGGCUACUGCCCAACUAGGGCUUGUGGGUGGGUGGGUGACGUGGUUGCAAGCUACGCACGCCACGUGUCGGUCGGCUUCCCUGACCUGCAGGCGUUGCGACACGUCUUUCCACCCUGUCCACCACACAUCACAGCACUCAUCCUGGCUAGCUUCCGGAUAUGGCAUCGCCCCUCACCAUCCCUCUCCUGCUUUCCUCCCGUUCCCACAGGGCUGGCCUGGUCCUGGUUCUGCUGGCCGUCGGCGUGAACCUGAUCAUCUCCACCUCCCAGCUGGGCGCUUAAGCGCUUUCCUCAAUUGUUGAUGCGAGCUACUUCAUGUAGCGCAUCCUAGCGUCAGCGUGGAUUCGCAUAGCGCAGCUGAGGU